UAUCUUAGUGGCGGACGGGUGAGUAACGCGUGGGUAACCUGCCCCAUACCGGGGGAUACCACCUGGAAACAGGUGCUAAUACCGCAUAAGCGCACGGGAGCGCAUGCUCCUGUGUGAAAAACUCCGGUGGUACAGGAUGGACCCGCGUCUGAUUAGCUGGUUGGCGGGGUAACGGCCCACCAAGGCGACGAUCAGUAGCCGGCCUGAGAGGGUGAACGGCCACAUUGGGACUGAGACACGGCCCAAACUCCUACGGAAGGCAGCAG
This 266-nucleotide ribosomal RNA is filed under the name uncultured bacterium. Its description in RNAcentral is "partial 16S ribosomal RNA". It matches the Rfam family "Bacterial small subunit ribosomal RNA", at positions 88 to 354 of the family's 1533-position model. The record is from RNAcentral.